GGGCUGGUGGUGUAGUGGUAACGCAUGUCGUGGCGACGAUCUCUUCCACGACAAGUCCCAGGUUCGAUUCCUGGCCAGUCUG
Molecule: non-coding RNA, 82 nt
Organism: Phyllosticta capitalensis
Lineage: Eukaryota; Fungi; Ascomycota; Dothideomycetes; Botryosphaeriales; Phyllostictaceae
Source: the annotation of a GenBank genome assembly